GCACACGCUCCACAGCGCCAGCACGCCCGUCCAAAACGCGCGAACUGAACGUUCGCCGCAUAGCUCCAGCCGCCAACUCAGCUGCAUCGCAUGCGGCGGCCGCCAGUUCCACGCCCAGAGCUCCACUCCAGCUUGCUACAGGCCGCUUACUCCUCGUCCUCAGCCUCGUUGUCGGCAAUGUUGAAGUACCGGAGCUCGUAGACGUUGCGGUCCUUGUUGGAAGCAAUGACGCGCAGCCAGUCGCGCACGUUGUGCUUCUUCAGGUACUUCUUGGUGAGGUACUUCAGGUAGCGCUUGCUCAGCUGGGACUCAGCAGUCACGGUGACCUUGGUCUUCUCCUUGGCCACCUUGAUAGAGUCGCCCAGCACGCCGGUCUUGCCGUCCACCUUGAUCUUGUCCAUCAG
Molecule: long non-coding RNA, 404 nt
Filed under: Chlamydomonas reinhardtii
Lineage: Eukaryota; Viridiplantae; Chlorophyta; Chlorophyceae; Chlamydomonadales; Chlamydomonadaceae
Description: long non-coding RNA (CREI_LNC000670)
Source: RNAcentral